AUGUAUCCAUCUCCUCAUACAGCUGUCAGGAUUCUCAGCGAGGAACUUUGGGAUGGACGUCACCAGGGUCAUAGGAGCAGAUUCUCAGACUGUGGUGACCCAGGAGUCAUCAGUCUCAGUGUCUCCAGUCGGAACAGUCACACUCACUUGUGGCCUCAGCUCUGGUCACUGACUACAAGUAACUACACCAGCUGGUACCAGCAGACCCAAGGCCAGUCUCCUCGCAUGCUUGUCUAUGACACAAGCAGCUGUCCCUCUGAAGUUCCUGAUCACUUCUCUGGAUCCAUUUCUGGGAACAAAGCCGCCCUCACCAUCACAGGAGCCCAGCCUGAGGACGAGGCUGACUACUACUGUGGUAUGCAUGAUGUCAGUGGGAGCAGCUAA
Molecule: non-coding RNA, 384 nt
Organism: Canis lupus familiaris (dog)
Lineage: Eukaryota; Metazoa; Chordata; Mammalia; Carnivora; Canidae
Source: the annotation of a RefSeq genome assembly